UGGGGAAUAUUGCACAAUGUAGGGAACUCUGAUGCAGCGACGCCGCGUGAGUGAUGAAGGAAUUCGUUUCGUAAAACUCUGUUCUAUGGGAAGAAAAGGACUGUACCAUAGGAGAAAGCUCCGGCUAAAUACGUGCCAGCAGCCGCGGUAAUACGUAUGGAGCGAGCGUUGUCCGGAAUUAUUGGGCGUAAAGGGUGCGCAGGCGGCUUUACAAGUUGGAUGUGAAAUAUUGUGGCUCAACCACAAACGUGCAUCCAAAACUGCAAAGCUUGAGUUAAGGAGAGGUAAGUGGAAUUCCUGGUGUAGCGGUGGAAUGCGUAGAUAUCAGGAGGAAUACCGGUGGCGAAGGCGACUUACUGGACUUAAACUGACGCUCAGGCACGAAAGCGUGGGGAGCAAACAGG
Molecule: ribosomal RNA, 404 nt
Filed under: Fusobacteriota bacterium
Lineage: Bacteria; Fusobacteriati; Fusobacteriota
Description: Fusobacteria bacterium partial 16S ribosomal RNA
Rfam family: Bacterial small subunit ribosomal RNA
Source: RNAcentral